ACUGGAAACACACCCAAUCAAGGAGGAACAAGGGCAUUGAUCAGGGCCCGUAUCCACCAAGAGUCUCAGGAUAGUAGAGCUGGUCUAGCAGCAGUUUGGCCUUUUUAGAUCGUAAAGGAAUAAGCUUGUACGGACAGAUCCUAGAUCAGCACUCCUAAAUCAAAGACACUCUGUGGAUAACGAGCCCUGAUCUCAUCAUCUAGGGUGACAAAACUCCAGUAACUUUUUUCCCCAGAAUUCCCUGGGUUUUCCCAGAAAUCCCUGUUGGAUGAUUCCUCUGAAUCAGAGGAGUAAUACGCAGGUAGUCUGGAAUCCUCCAACUGGGAUGUGUGGAAAACCUGGGAGAUUUUUUUGGGGGAAAAGUUAUUUCUAAACCCUAAUCCCACCGGUUAGUAGCGCAGCUCGUUAUCUUAACCCUUAACAUCACUAUCAGAACCAACGGGUGCCGUUAGUUAAAACAAAAAAACAGGAGAAAACAGAACCAAAACAAGAAUCUAAAGAAUCAAGGAACCCCUAAAACGAAAACAAAACUACACAAGAAAUAUGAACACCUGAAUCUUCUCAGUUUGUAGCCAACCAAUAACAUCGUUCUGUGUUUCUCAUUUCACGUUUUUUUUGUUGUGUUUUCUUUAAAUAUAUACACACACAAUUUCAAAUCUCUUCACAAAGCCAACUAUGAUGGGCUUUUAGGGAGGGGAGGGGAGGGCAUUCCAUCUGUGCUUAAGAAAAAAAAGGUCAGUGUGUUUUGUUGUUCUAAUAAUAAUUAUAGUAACACUGGUUCUGUGUAUAUAUGGUGAAACCAGAGGGCUCACUAAUGGCCGAAACUUCCUACUAAAGCAGCACUACUCAAACUCCCCCAACACCAGAGGAGGUACAGCCCAUCCCAAACCCUCAGUCAAACUCCCCCAAACACAAACCCUCAGUCAAACUCCCCCAACACCAGAGGAGGUACAGCCCAUCACAAACCCUCAGUCAAACUCCCCCAAAACACAAACCCUCAGUCAAACUCCCCCAAACACCAGAGGAGGUGCAGCCCAUCACAAACCCUCAGGGAUGGAGGGAACAUAACAGGGCAGGAGAAGAGGAGAGGAAGGGCAACAUUAAAAUCAUAAGUAGGACCAAAGUUGCCAUUUACCAGUCCUGAGAAACGGCUUUGAUAUGGAGUGGCAACGUGCAAGAUGAAAGUACAGACCACUUCUUCUCUUUUUACAUUUAUUUUAAACAGAUGCUGUGUAUUUUUAUUUUAUUAUACAAGAAGAUAUUGCAGAAAAAAAAGACAAAAACUGAUUUUUUUUUAAAUUUUUUUAAAGAUGGAAACACUUUGACUAGUUGACUAAAGGAGAAGGGGGAGGGGGGGGGGGGAGGAUAUGAAGAGGAUCACAUCAGGAAUUACUAGUCUCAAGCUUCAACCCUUCUGCAACUGGUUCUCUUCUUUAAAAGACCAAAUCAUCCUUCUUGGUUUCUGCCCCCCCCCCCCC
Non-coding RNA from Oncorhynchus mykiss (rainbow trout), 1478 nucleotides. The record is from RefSeq and is a predicted model, not a curated record. NCBI's taxonomy places the organism in Eukaryota, Metazoa, Chordata, Actinopteri, Salmoniformes, Salmonidae.